GUAGUAAAUAUCUGGAGUCUGUCGUUCCCUCCUUAAUCCUUAUCCCCUCCCCACGUUUCCCUCUUCACUUCCCGGUUCCCGCCUGCAUACGGUACAGUGGUACACCCACCGCCGGUGAGCCAUGCCUCCCCCGGCGGGGCUGCCCCCCUGGCCGACGCCGUCCACCACGCGCCUCGCGACCCCGACCCCGACGCGGCCUCCUCCUCGCACCACCCACGUUCGGCCGCCGCCUCCACCUUACACUCGCGUCCGCCUUCCUCCGCCUCCGCCUGCUACGACGCCACUGCCGCCCCGCCUGGAGCCCGCUGCGCCAAAACCAGCGGCCGUCGCCACACUCCUGCCUCCCUCCACUGCCUCUGCAGCGUCUUCUUCGUCCACCUGCCUCGACUGCGUCCAUUUUGGCAAGUGCUCAGGGUGCACGCACGAGGUGGACCUCGACAAGCCGCCGGUGCUGCAGGAGGUGGCGAAUUUCUUCAAGGGACACGGGGUCGGAGAUUUCACCUUCAGCAGGGGCAGGCUGUCCCAAUGGCGGUGCCGAGCAAAGCUAGCUGUUCGUGGAACACCAGAGAACCCGUUGAUUGGUUUAUACCAGGAAGGGACGCAUGCUGUUAUAGAUAUUCCAGAGUGCAGAGCUCAUCACCCAAGCAUUAAUGCUGCUGUUAAGUUGUUAAGGCAAGGUAUAACUGAGCUAAGUAUUCAGCCAUUUGAUGAAGAUGCUGGAGCUGGUGAACUCAGAUAUGUUCAGAUGGCCGUGACAACAUAUAACACAUCUAUUCCGGUUGAUAAAAGAUACGAGCAAGGGAAAGUUCAAGUUUCAUUGGUUUGGAAUUCAAGAGACGAGCGCUCCCAGAACGCAGAGAAGCUGACUUCAAUAAUAGAAUACUUGUGGACAAAUGGUGGGCCAAAAAGUAGUGUCCAUCUCAUUCAUUCUAUAUGGGCCAAUUUUCAGACAUCAACCAGCAACAUAAUUUUUGGGCAUAAAUGGAGACAUCUUAAGGGGGAGAGGGACAUGUGGGAGCGUUAUGGGGGAGUUGAUAUUUCUCUGGAUCCUUGUAGCUUUGGCCAGGCUAAUACUCUGUCAUUUAACUCUUUGUUGCAUAAGCUGAACAAGUAUGUACCACGUAGUUCAACAGUUGUUGAUUUGUACUCUGGGGCUGGUGUUAUUGGCCUAUCAGUUGCUGCUUCAAGGAAAUGUAGGUCUGUGAAAUGUAUCGAGAUUAACAAACAGUCAAAGAUGUCUUUUGAGACAUCAGCAAGCCGACUUCCAGCGAACCUGGGUUGCACCAUUACUUGGCACAAUACCGAUGCUUCAGUUGAACCUUCGCACUGGCUUGAAGGGUCAAGUGUUGUUAUUGUGGAUCCACCAAGGAAAGGAUUGCACCCAUCUGUUAUCAGCGCUUUACAGAAAGUUGCUUUGUCUGAGCGCAAGGCAUACAAGGCUAAAAGUUCGCUUGCAAAGGUUAAGGAUGAGAAGAGACCAUGGAUCUUACGGGCAAGGGAGGCUGCAGUUCAUGUUGAUAAUACAACAACUGAAGAGGGCAAUGAAACGUGGCCUGAAACUCUCAUAUACAUUAGCUGUGGAUGGGAAAGUUUUAAGAGGGACUGCAAAAGCUUGAUAUCCAGCAAGGCCUGGCAGUUGGAAAAUGCUCAUGCUUUUAACUUCUUCCCUGGCACAGAUAGAGUUUCAUGCUGCCGGUGGACGAAGAGGUGCUAAUGUUGAGGUCUUAUUCCCCGGGUCCAAUGUGGUUGGUAGUGGCAGUGCAACUGCAAGUGAUUCUGUUCCUCCCGUGACCUCAAAUGUUGAUAGCACAGGCCCUGCUUCGGCAUUAUCAGCUGCUGCAGACUCAAAAAGCCUUGCUGAAAAGGCUAUUGCAGCACUCCCUCCUGAGCUUAGUGCACAAGCAACUGACCCAAAAAGAAAGGCAAGGUCACAGGACCCAGGAUGGAAGUUUGGGUGGUGGCCAGACACAACGAAGAAGGAUUUUGUUCAGUGUAUUUUCUGUUCGAAGAUUGUUCCUUCCGGAAUCAAAAGGUUCAAGCAGCAUCUUGCCGGUGGGUUUGGUGACACCAUGAAGUGUGCUAGAGUACCAGAACUGGUUUCAAAGGAAAUGCACAUGUAUCUAAAAAGGAACAUGAGACUUGUGAUUACUGCUAAUACUGAAGAAGGUGAAGAGGGAGAAGAGCGAGAUGAUGAAGGUCCUGAACCAAGUUCUGGGACAAAAAACAAGCAAACAAAAAAGAAAAUUGCCCAAGCUGCCAUGUCCUCAUUUCUUGUAUCUGCUCCUCCAAAACCAAGUACCCAGAAGGCAAGCAAAUCAGUGAGUGCCAUGCUCUGCAAGACUCCAGAAGAAGUAGUUGCAGAGAGGCAUAAAAACAAAACUUCUCAGUCCACCCUUGAGCACUGCACAAAGAAAGGGACACAAGCACAGCAAAUUGUUGACGACCAUGUAGCUGAUUUUCUGUAUGAGAACAAGAUUCCAUUGAAUGUCGUAAACUCAAGAAGUUGGGAGAUUAUGUUGGAGUCUAUUGGUCAGUACGGUCCUGGAUAUCAUGGCCCAUCGUAUCAUGAGGCUAGAGUACCUUGGCUUGAAAGGGCAGUGAAGAGAACAUCGACAUUGAGAGAUAAGCACGAAGAGGCUUGGAAGGAAUAUGGUUGCUCAAUUAUGUCAGAUGGGUGGACCGACACAAGACAACGUCAUUUGAUCAACUUCCUUGCCAACAGUCCAGCAGGGACAUACUUCCUAGGUUCUGUUGAUGCAUCAAGUGAGGUAGCAAAUGCCAAUAUGUUGGCAGAUCUGUUGGAGAAGCAAAUAAUGAAGCAUUGAAAUUCUGGCUAUCUUCAAACGGGAAUCAGAAGCUGGUCAAAAGAAAAAGAAGAAAGCAAAAAAGAAGGCUAAGUAGAU
Zea mays is the source of this 2903-nucleotide RNA transcript. RefSeq lists it as uncharacterized. NCBI's taxonomy places the organism in Eukaryota, Viridiplantae, Streptophyta, Magnoliopsida, Poales, Poaceae. The record is from RefSeq and is marked validated. The transcript has 16 exons.